RNAcentral lists this small nuclear RNA (138 nucleotides) under Neogobius melanostomus (round goby). RNAcentral describes it as "U4 spliceosomal RNA (ENSNMLG00000021113.1)". It matches the Rfam family "U4 spliceosomal RNA". From Rfam's summary of the family: U4 small nuclear RNA (U4 snRNA) is a component of the major U2-dependent spliceosome. The structure of U4 snRNA from yeast and human has been reported. Lineage: Eukaryota; Metazoa; Chordata; Actinopteri; Gobiiformes; Gobiidae. The record is from Rfam by way of RNAcentral.
AGCGUUGCGCAGUGGCAUAUUGUAGCCUCAUGAAGUGUUUAUCCAGGGCAUAUUGCUAGUUGCAAACUUUAACCCAAUACCCGCCUUGACGACUUAAGAAAUAGUCGCUAUGGAAUUUUUUGUCAGUCUCUCAGGAGA